RNAcentral lists this ribosomal RNA (425 nucleotides) under uncultured prokaryote. RNAcentral's name for it is "bacterial SSU rRNA". It matches the Rfam family "Bacterial small subunit ribosomal RNA", at positions 355 to 796 of the family's 1533-position model. The record is from RNAcentral.
UGGGGAAUCUUGCGCAAUGGGCGAAAGCCUGACGCAGCAACGCCGCGUGGGGGAAGAAGGCUCUCGGGUCGUAAACCCCUUUCAGCAGGGACGAAACUGACGGUACCUGCAGAAGAAGCGCCGGCCAACUACGUGCCAGCAGCCGCGGUAACACGUAGGGCGCAAGCGUUGUCCGGAUUCAUUGGGCGUAAAGAGCUCGUAGGCGGUUCAGUAAGUCGGAUGUGAAAACCCAGGGCUCAACCCUGGGACGCCAUCCGAUACUGCUGUGACUCGAGUCCGGUAGGGGAGCAUGGAAUUCCUGGUGUAGCGGUGAAAUGCGCAGAUAUCAGGAGGAACACCAGUAGCGAAGGCGGUGCUCUGGGCCGGUACUGACGCUGAGGAGCGAAAGCGUGGGGAGCGAACAGGAUUAGAUACCCCCGUAGUCC